AGGAUGAACGCUGGCGGCGUGCUUAACACAUGCAAGUCGAACGAUGAAAGCCGGAGCUUGCUCUGGCUGGAUUAGUGGCGAACGGGUGAGUAACACGUGAGUAACCUGCCCCAGACUCUGGGAUAAGCACUGGAAACGGUGUCUAAUACCGGAUACGAGCUUCAGCCGCAUGGCUAGGAGCUGGAAAGAAUUUCGGUCUGGGAUGGACUCGCGGCCUAUCAGGUAGUUGGUGAGGUAACGGCUCACCAAGCCGACGACGGGUAGCCGGCCUGAGAGGGUGACCGGCCACACUGGGACUGAGACACGGCCCAGACUCCUACGGGAGGCAGCAGUGGGAAUAUUGCACAAUGGGCGCAAGCCUGAUGCAGCAACGCCGCGUGAGGACGACGGCCUUCGGUUGUAAACCGUCGUUUUAGUAGGGAAGAAGCGAAAGUGACGGUACCUGCAAGAAAAGCACCGGCUAACGUACGUGACCAGCAGCCGAC
This 485-nucleotide ribosomal RNA is filed under the name uncultured soil bacterium. Its description in RNAcentral is "bacterial SSU rRNA". It matches the Rfam family "Bacterial small subunit ribosomal RNA", at positions 26 to 518 of the family's 1533-position model. The record is from RNAcentral.